UACGUAGGGUGCAAGCGUUAAUCGGAAUUACUGGGCGUAAAGGGCUCGUAGGCGGCUAACUAAGUCGGACGUGAAAUCCCUCGGCUUAACCGGGGAACUGCGUCCGAUACUGGAUGGCUUGAGUUCGGGAGAGGGAUGCGGAAUUCCAGGUGUAGCGGUGAAAUGCGUAGAUAUCUGGAGGAACACCGGUGGCGAAGGCGGCAUCCUGGACCGACACUGACGCUGAGGGGCGAAAGCCAGGGGAGCAAACGGG
RNAcentral lists this ribosomal RNA (253 nucleotides) under uncultured bacterium. RNAcentral's name for it is "partial 16S ribosomal RNA". It matches the Rfam family "Bacterial small subunit ribosomal RNA", at positions 524 to 776 of the family's 1533-position model. The record is from RNAcentral.